AACGAACGCUGGCGGCAGGCUUGACACAUGCAAGUCGAACGGAUGUAGCAAUACAUCAGUGGCAGACGGGUGAGUAACACGUGGGAACCUUCCUCGUUGUACGGGACAACUCAGGGAAACUUGAGCUAAUACCGUAUACGUCCGAGAGGAGAAAGAUUUAUCGCAAUGAGACGGGCCCGCGUCGGAUUAGCUAGUUGGUGGGUAACGGCCGUACCAACGGACGACGAUCCGUAGCUGAUCUGAGAGGAUGAUCAGCCACACUGGAC
Molecule: ribosomal RNA, 266 nt
Filed under: uncultured bacterium
Lineage: Bacteria
Description: partial 16S ribosomal RNA
Rfam family: Bacterial small subunit ribosomal RNA
Source: RNAcentral